UGAACGCUGGCGGCGUGCCUAACACAUGCAAGUCGAACGGAGAACCCGCCCUCGGGCGGUUAUGAAGUGGCGAACGGGUGAGUAACACGUGACCAACCUGCCCCGCGCUCAGGGACAGCCUCGGGAAACCGGGAUUAAUACCUGAUGCGCCCCCGCCCCCGCAUGGGGGAGGGGGGAAAGGCCCAGGCGGCGCGGGAUGGGGUCGCGGCCCAUCAGGUAGACGGCCGGGUAGAGGCCGGCCGUGCCGACGACGGGUAGCCGGGUUGAGAGACCGACCGGCCACAUUGGGACUGAGAUACGGCCCAGACUCCUACGGGAGGCAGCAGUGGGGAAUAUUGCGCAAUGGGGGGAACCCUGACGCCAGCAACGCCGCGUGCGGGACGACGGCCCUCGGGUUGUAAACCGCUUUCAGCAGGGAAGACAUCGACGGUACCUGCAGAAGAAGCCCCGGCUAACUACGUGCCAGCAGCAGC
RNAcentral lists this ribosomal RNA (473 nucleotides) under uncultured bacterium. RNAcentral describes it as "bacterial SSU rRNA". It matches the Rfam family "Bacterial small subunit ribosomal RNA", at positions 30 to 518 of the family's 1533-position model. The record is from RNAcentral.